Molecule: non-coding RNA, 99 nt
Filed under: uncultured Terrisporobacter sp.
Lineage: Bacteria; Bacillati; Bacillota; Clostridia; Peptostreptococcales; Peptostreptococcaceae
Description: SAM riboswitch (S box leader)
Rfam family: SAM riboswitch aptamer (S box leader)
About the family: The SAM riboswitch is found upstream of a number of genes which code for proteins involved in methionine or cysteine biosynthesis in Gram-positive bacteria. The SAM riboswitch acts at the level of transcription termination control. The predicted structure consists of a complex stem-loop region followed by a single stem loop terminator region.
Source: RNAcentral
CCUUAUCAAGAGAGGUGGAGGGACUGGCCCUAUGAAACCCAGCAACCGGUCAUUAUGACAAAGGUGCUAAUUCCUACAGAUGUAUUCUGGAAGAUAAGA